RNAcentral lists this ribosomal RNA (468 nucleotides) under uncultured bacterium. Its description in RNAcentral is "partial 16S ribosomal RNA". It matches the Rfam family "Bacterial small subunit ribosomal RNA", at positions 28 to 507 of the family's 1533-position model. The record is from RNAcentral.
GACGAACGCUGGCGGCGUGCUUAACACAUGCAAGUCGAACGGAAAGGCCCUGCUUUUGUUGGGUGCUCGAGUGGCGAACGGGUGAGUAACACGUGAGUAACCUGCCCUUGACUUUGGGAUAACUUCAGGAAACUGGGGCUAAUACCGGAUAGGAGCUCCUGCUGCAUGGUGGGGGUUGGAAAGUUUCGGCGGUUGGGGAUGGACUCGCGGCUUAUCAGCUUGUUGGUGGGGUAGUGGCUUACCAAGGCUUUGACGGGUAGCCGGCCUGAGAGGGUGACCGGCCACAUUGGGACUGAGAUACGGCCCAGACUCCUACGGGAGGCAGCAGUGGGGAAUAUUGCACAAUGAGCGGAAGCCUGAUGCAGCAACGCCGCGUGCGGGAUAACGGCCUUCGGGUUGUAAACCGCUUUCGCCUGUGACGAAGCGUGAGUGACGGUAAUGGGUAAAGAAGCACCGGCUAACUACGUG